UACGUAGGGGGCAAGCGUUAUCCGGAUUUAUUGGGUUUAAAGGGUGCGUAGGCGGAUUGAUAAGUUAGAGGUGAAAUGUCCGAGCUCAACUCGGGAACUGCCUCUAAUACUGUUGAUCUAGAGAGUAGAUGCGGUAGGCGGAAUGUAUGGUGUAGCGGUGAAAUGCUUAGAGAUCAUACAGAACACCGAUUGCGAAGGCAGCUUACCAAUCUAUAUCUGACGUUGAGGCACGAAAGCGUGGGGAGCAAACAGG
Molecule: ribosomal RNA, 253 nt
Filed under: uncultured bacterium
Lineage: Bacteria
Description: partial 16S ribosomal RNA
Rfam family: Bacterial small subunit ribosomal RNA
Source: RNAcentral